Molecule: long non-coding RNA, 818 nt
Filed under: Heterocephalus glaber (naked mole-rat)
Lineage: Eukaryota; Metazoa; Chordata; Mammalia; Rodentia; Bathyergidae
Description: lncRNA (ENSHGLG00000035605.1)
Source: RNAcentral
GGCAAAAUCACGCAUAGCAGUUUGCAUUCAAGUGACCUUUCUGGAUAUCCAUUAAAUUAGCACUACUGGUACAUACAAAAUGUGAACUUUAGGGAUCUACUUUGGGUAGUAGAAAAGCACAGAAUUCAGAACUGAGAGAAUUAGGUCUUUUCCUGCUUCAUGAUUUUGGGAAAGCCAUUCAACUUCUAUGACCUCCACGUUUCCCCAGAAAUGACAAUAAUAAUACGCUUUCUCUCACCUCUUGGAAGUUUGAAUCCUGAUCCUUUUAUUGUGUUUUUCACUAAUGAAGCCAACUGGAUUGGAACUCAAGAUUCAUCAUGACCAAUAUCCACUUUUAUCCUUAUUUCAUAUCUUGUCUCUACCCCUUAUCAAGAAAAUCAAUACAUGGACAUUUAUGUAGCAUUUGUUUUCUUUCUUUUUUCUUUUUAAAAAAAUGAAUUUCAACCAGGAACAUCUGCUGUCAGAUUAGGAGUGACUAUGCUUGAUGUAAUUUUUUUCUGCUAAGAUAUUUAGAAGCAAUACUUGCUUUUAUCAACUUUCUACCAACUGGUCUUACAAGUCAAAACAACAGGGCAGAAAAAAGAGAAGAAUAUCAAAUACCCCAACAGCUGAAGGAAGACAUGACACAUGAGCUCAGAUCUGUUCAGACAGAAAAUUGCAUUUAUGUCAUGGGUAAAGCAGUAAAUAGCAUACUUGGUGAUUCUAUGAUCAAUUCUUGCCAUUGGUUUAAACUUCUAUGCUAAUCUCAUGAGAUAAGAUUGUGAAGAGCUGAUCAUCUCCAGUACUCAGACAUAUAACGAUAUUUAUAAGAAAACAUU